RNAcentral lists this ribosomal RNA (407 nucleotides) under uncultured eukaryote. Its description in RNAcentral is "SSU rRNA". It matches the Rfam family "Eukaryotic small subunit ribosomal RNA", at positions 567 to 972 of the family's 1831-position model. The record is from RNAcentral.
CCAGCAGCUGCGGUAAUUCCAGCUCCAAUAGCGUAUAUUAAAGUUGCUGCAGUUAAAAAGCUCGUAGUUGGAUCUCGGGUGCAGGCUUGCGGUCCGUCUCGCGGCGGUCACUGCUCGUCCUGGCCUCCCAGCCGGCGUACCGUCCCUUGGUGCUCUUGACUGAGUGUCUCGGGCGGCCGGAACGUUUACUUUGAAGAAAUUAGAGUGCUCAAAGCAGGCCUUGGUCGCCUGAAUAAUGGUGCAUGGAAUAAUGGAAUAGGACCUCGGUUCUAUUUUGUUGGUUUUCGGAGCUCGAGGUAAUGAUUAAUAGGGACUGACGGGGUCAUUCGUAUUGCGGCGCUAGAGGUGAAAUUCUUGGACCGUCGCAAGACGAACUACAGCGAAAGCAUUUGCCAAGCAUGUUUUCA